AUUGAACGCUGGCGGCAGGCCUAACACAUGCAAGUCGAACGAGUGGCGGACGGGUGAGUAAUGUCUGGGACACUGCCUGAUGGAGGGGGAUAACUACUGGAAACGGUAGCUAAUACCGCACACCAUCAGAUGUGCCCAGGUGGGAUUAUCUUGUUGGGGGGGUAACGGCGCACCAAGGCGACGAUCCCUAGCUGGUCUGAGAGGAGGACCAGCCACACUGGAACUGAGACACGGUCCAGACUCCUACGGGAGGCAGCAGUGGGGAAUAUUGGACAAUGGGCGAAAGCCUGAUGCAGCCAUGCCGCGUGUAUGAAGAAGGCCUUCGGGUUGUAAAGUACUUUCAGCGGGGAGGCGUUACCCACAGAAGAAGCACCGGCUAACUCCGUGCCAGCAGCCGCGGUAAUUC
RNAcentral lists this ribosomal RNA (406 nucleotides) under uncultured bacterium. RNAcentral describes it as "partial 16S ribosomal RNA". It matches the Rfam family "Bacterial small subunit ribosomal RNA", at positions 30 to 526 of the family's 1533-position model. The record is from RNAcentral.